UCAAAAGGUUGUGGGAGGGGUGUUGCUUUGCCUCAUUACUGUUCUUCCAGAGAGAGAGAGAGAGAGAGAGCAGAAAUGCCAUCAUCUGGUUUGAUUACUAUACCAGCUUCUAAAAAUGGAGGUUGGUACAUGCUGAUUGGCAUUCAGAGCAGCAGACGGAAGUGAAAGAGAGUUCUUCCCAGAUUUGGUGGGAUUUUGGCAAGGGAACAUAGAGAUACUUUCUAAUAUCCCCUGCCUUUGCUGUCUGCUGUGGAGUAGAGGAUAAACCUACUAUCAGCUGGUUGGACUCUCAUUCUGACGGCACCCAUUCAAAGCAGAUGACCCAUUGGUGAGCAAGUGAUGUGAUAAUACAUUUCUCCAAGUCUGUUCAGAUGGAGACACAAACCUACAGCUUGGAUUGCCUGAGGUCCUCCCCUUUCCCGAGUUGCGCCGCUGCUUGUCCUGACCCAAUGGAGCCUGCCCUCGCUGCCACGGCCUUGUCUUUGGCUGGGAGGAACAGCUGUCUACACUAACGAGGCCAUCGUCAUCAUGAUGAACAAAACGACACGGUGGCAUACGAGUGAGCAAGACCGCCACUUGGACUCCACGAGGCCCCGGGACACGUAAACAAUGUCUUAAUGAGAAUGUGUGCCAUUACAGUAAUUAACACAGCUCAACGUCAAGCCACUGUCAGAUCUCCAGACUUUCAGGAAGGUUUUGCAUUACACAGAAGCAGACAGAGUUGAACCUCCACCGAGAGGCCUUUUUUGAACUGUGUCCUGUAGAUUCACAGUAUGGACAAUAAAUGUUUUCUCAUGAAA
Onychostoma macrolepis is the source of this 800-nucleotide long non-coding RNA. RefSeq lists it as uncharacterized. Lineage: Eukaryota; Metazoa; Chordata; Actinopteri; Cypriniformes; Cyprinidae. The record is from RefSeq and is a predicted model, not a curated record. The transcript has 3 exons.